Molecule: ribosomal RNA, 296 nt
Filed under: uncultured bacterium
Lineage: Bacteria
Description: partial 16S ribosomal RNA
Rfam family: Bacterial small subunit ribosomal RNA
Source: RNAcentral
UUUUUCCUACGGGGGGCAGCAGUGGGGAAUAUUGCACAAUGGGGGAAACCCUGAUGCAGCGACGCCGCGUGAGUGAAGAAGUAUUUCGGUAUGUAAAGCUCUAUCAGCAGGGAAGAAAAUGACGGUACCUGACUAAGAAGCCCCGGCUAACUACGUGCCAGCAGCCGCGGUAAUACGUAGGGGGCGAGCGUUAUCCGGAAUUACUGGGUGUAAAGGGAGCGCAGACGGCAGUGCAAGUCUGGAGUGAAAGCCCGUGGCUUAACCACGGGACUGCUCUGGAAACUGUGCAGCUAGAG